UGGAGCAUGAAGCUUGUGAUUAUAAACCUAAAUGAAAGUAUGUCAUUGCAAAUAUUAAAAGAAAAAUAAGAAAGGGAGGAGGAAGGGUGGGAAGUAUCAUGUUCUUAAAACUGUAUAUAGGCCAGCGCUGCGGGUCAAUAGGUUAAUUUUCUGCCUGCGGGGCCGGCACACCAGGUUCUAGUCCCGGUCGGGGAGCCGGUUCUGUCCUGGUUGUUCCUCUUCCAGUCCAGCUCUCUGCUGUGGCCCGGGAGGGCAGUGGAGGAUGGCCCAAGUCCUUGGGCCCUGCACCCACAUGGGAGACCAGGCAAAGCACCUGGCUCCUGGCUUUGGAUCAGCGCCGUGCGCUGGCUGCAGUGCGCCAGCCGCAGCGGCCAUUGGGGGGUGAACCACCGGAAAAGAAAGACCUUUCUCUCUGUCUCUCUCUCUCACUGUUCACUCUGCCUGUCAAAAAAAAAAAAAACUGUAUAUAUAAAAUACAUGAAAUCUGAUGCCUUUAUAUAAAUAAAUAAACAGGAGAAAAGAUCUGGCUACUGAGCUAAAAUAAUUCAUUGUCUUAUAGACAGCAAUUUAGCUAUUUUGGAAGGAAGUGUCUUUAAGAAAUUCUGAUUAUGAAAUUGUUUAGUUUCAUUUAAGAACAUAUUCUAGGAUCUGUUUCAUAAAACUCUUUCCAAUCAUGAUUUUUAAAAGCAAGCGUGUAAGAAAGAAGGAAGAAAAAGCAAUACAGAAGCAAACUGGCAUGUAAGGGUAGUUGAACAGUGAGAAGUACAGGUAAGGAAAAAUAAACCAGCUACUUAUAUAACCAUCAUGCAAUCCCUUGCCCUUCCUUUUCACAUGUGGAUAAAAGAGGUUUCCCAUCAGAACCUCCAGCAGCUUGAUAGCUCAAAAUUCCCUAGAGAAUCUCCUUCCUUCCCCUCUCUUCAUGUGCACACACAAGUGUACAUGUGUGCGUGCACAUGCGCACACACACACACACACACACCCCUACCCAGUUUUGUUUCCCACAGGGAGUCUCUGAGAAUCUGGUCAGUGGUGUUUUAAAUUGCAUGUUAGAGGAGGUUGUUGCAGGACAUCCCAAAAUCUUUUAGCUCUGGCUGUCCUCAAUGUCACCGUGCUCCAGAACAUAUGGCCAAGAUGCCUCCAUGCCACCUCUCACACUAGAGCUCCAACUCUGCCCUAUUGGAGUUGUUGGUUUGCUGUUACACUCUGCAAACUACUCACUCUGAUUCUAACUGAGCACUACUCAGCACUACACCUGGGGCACCCUGUGUUUCCCACUCUCCCCAAUGUUCAGCGUCUCCUAAAAGUUCUAGUGGACCUCCCUCUUCCUUGCUUUUAGGGGAGUCCUUAAACAGAGUUCCUUUUCCCAUGCUACUGUGAUACUUCUUUUAAUUUUAUGCUCCAAACUAUCUGGUGGCACAUGCAUUACUAGGAUGGCUAAUCCCACUGGUACUUCCUCAGGGAUAUUGUAGAUCAGAGAUAUAACCCAUGAGCCAAUUCCAGCCUGCACCUGAUGUUACAGAUAAAGUUUUCUUGAAAAAUAUCCACAUGACUUCACUUUUACAUUGUCUGUGACUGCUCUCCACUACCAUGCAGAGGUAUGGCAAAAACCUUAU
Molecule: long non-coding RNA, 1613 nt
Filed under: Oryctolagus cuniculus (rabbit)
Lineage: Eukaryota; Metazoa; Chordata; Mammalia; Lagomorpha; Leporidae
Description: lncRNA (ENSOCUG00000031656.1)
Source: RNAcentral